RNAcentral lists this ribosomal RNA (301 nucleotides) under uncultured bacterium. RNAcentral describes it as "partial 16S ribosomal RNA". It matches the Rfam family "Bacterial small subunit ribosomal RNA", at positions 509 to 807 of the family's 1533-position model. The record is from RNAcentral.
CAGUCGCCGCGUUAAUACGUAGGGUGCGAGCGUUAAUCGGAAUUACUGGGCGUAAUGCGUGCGCAGGCGGUUGUGUAAGACAGGUGUGAAAUCCCCGGGCUUAACCUGGGAACUGCGCUUGUGACUGCACAGCUAGAGUAUGGCAGAGGGGGGUGGAAUUCCACGUGUAGCAGUGAAAUGCAUAGAGAUGUGGAGGAACACCGAUGGCGAAGGCAGCCCCCUGGGCCAAUACCGACGCUCAUGCACGAAAGCGUGGGGAGCAAACAGGAUUAGAGACCCGUGUAGUCCCUGUCUCUUAUAC